Molecule: ribosomal RNA, 542 nt
Filed under: uncultured bacterium
Lineage: Bacteria
Description: partial 16S ribosomal RNA
Rfam family: Bacterial small subunit ribosomal RNA
Source: RNAcentral
UGGGGAAUUUUGGACAAUGGGCGAAAGCCUGAUCCAGCAAUGCCGCGUGUGUGAAGAAGGCCUUCGGGUUGUAAAGCACUUUUGUCCGGAAAGAAAUCCUUGGCUCUAAUACAGUCGGGGGAUGACGGUACCGGAAGAAUAAGCACCGGCUAACUACGUGCCAGCAGCCGCGGUAAUACGUAGGGUGCAAGCGUUAAUCGGAAUUACUGGGCGUAAAGCGUGCGCAGGCGGUUUGCUAAGACCGAUGUGAAAUCCCCGGGCUCAACCUGGGAACUGCAUUGGUGACUGGCAGGCUAGAGUAUGGCAGAGGGGGGUAGAAUUCCACGUGUAGCAGUGAAAUGCGUAGAGAUGUGGAGGAAUACCGAUGGCGAAGGCAGCCCCCUGGGCCAAAUACUGACGCUCAUGCACGAAAGCGUGGGGAGCAAACAGGAUUAGAUACCCUGGUAGUCCACGCCCUAAACGAUGUCAACUAGUUGUUGGGGACUUCAUUUCCUUAGUAACGUAGCUAACGCGUGAAGUUGACCGCCUGGGGAGUACGGUCG